Long non-coding RNA from Tribolium castaneum (red flour beetle), 1631 nucleotides. RefSeq lists it as uncharacterized. The record is from RefSeq and is a predicted model, not a curated record. NCBI's taxonomy places the organism in Eukaryota, Metazoa, Arthropoda, Insecta, Coleoptera, Tenebrionidae. The transcript has 2 exons.
CCGAAAAGUAUUUUACGGUUGAUCUCAACAACAAGUCAACCAACAUUUCUUUGUCCAGACUGAAACCAGCUUUUCUGCUCAACGACAACCCCAUUCGGCACGACCAUACUUAUGCCAAUUGGGCUAUUACACCCGAAAAGACUGAUUUGAAGAAGACUGUCAGAUUCAAAUUAUAAAUAGUUUUUUCUAUUACUCAUCGUGGCUCCACCACUGGCAGGGGAGUACUGUGGCGGCACUGGAACCACACAGGCGAUUCACGGUUGAUCGUAACCGUAGCCACAACACUUCCCAUGACAAGUGACAGCCCGCCAGAACGACACUAGCGACACCACCUCUCUUGGCGUCGAGCGUCACUCGGUCACACGUGCAUAAUUUUAGUUUUGUAACCGUUUCAAUUUGUUGCGUUAAUAAAGGAGUUUAUGUAAACACAUAAGCAGCUUGACACUGACAGCACCCCGCCGCAAUCCCAUGCGCAGAAGUUGCUUUUCCAUAUACAAACAUACGCAGACGGCGCAGAUUGGUUUGUUACCAAUAAAACUAGCCUUUGUGACGGUCUUUAUCCCCUUCAUUUGUCUAUGGGUGGCCCCGACUACACUGGCCACGCACCGAUGGCAGCCGCGACGACGACUUCGUCGCGACCAACGCACCAAGCACUUCGACGGUCAGUAGCAGCGGUGAGUGGUAGCGACGCCCAACCAACUACUUCGAUGGCUUAAUGAUUCGCCGACGCCAAAUGGUCAUCAGCGAUGCCUAGAAAAACAAUGGUGAAUGGAAAAGUGCUUGUGAUCAGCGCCUCGCCUUCGGGGAAGUGUUCCUGGAUAGAGCUCCUCGUAAGCGCCCACAGGAAGUACUUCAAUGCUCGUGGGCUCAGCACCUCUGUUGAUGGCAUCCCAAGGAGUUCUCGCACGCAGACUCUUGAUGUCUCUUCAACCUCACCAGAGUCUACGAUGAACGGUAUCCCACGGAGUUUCCGUGCUCUUAUCCUUAAUACCUCUUCACCUACGCUGAACGGUAUCCCAAGGAGCUCUUUGCACUCGGACCCUUGAUACCUCUUCAACAUAGUCAACUCAAGCAAGUAGUAUGCAACAAUCAUUUUCACCUGACGUUAACAUUCUGUCACUAAUGCCAUGAUGCUGUCACUAUCGAUACUGCAAAAUUAUGUCGUCGCUAACUUGGAUAAGCAUUAACAAAUCGUCUGUGAUUAAAUGCAACUUUUUCUGCAAAUUCAAAGCAAGCACCACCGGAUCUGUUCAGUCAUCAACCACAUCAUCUCCAGAAGUCAUCUUCAGAAAUUCCAAAGCCAAAAAUUCAAAAACUAAUCAUGCUCUAAUCGUACCGUCUCUGCUCGCUUCACCGUUCCUGCUCUGUGCUCACUUCACCGUUCUUGCUCGCUUCAACGGUACUGAAAGGGGAGUGAUGUGGCGGUUCUUCAGUUUUACGAGAGAUGGCACUGUAGAUUUCUACUUACGACUAUAGCAUUCCUAUUUGUAAAUAAAUAGUCGUAUUGGAAAAUUGCCACAUGGUUCGUUUUAGAACUCAUAUGUAGACAGUUCAGUUCAUAGAACUUCAGUUCACUUCAUAGAACUAAUAGUUCCUCAAUUGUAGUGUGGAGAAUAAAGUGUGCUUCAUUA